CAGCCGCCGCGGGAAUACGAAGGGUGCAAGCGUUAAUCGGAAUUACUGGGCGUAAAGCGUGCGUAGGCGGUGAGUUAAGUCUGCUGUGAAAUCCCCGGGCUCAACCUGGGAAUGGCAGUGGAUACUGGCUCGCUAGAGUGUGUCAGAGGAUGGUGGAAUUCCCGGUGUAGCGGUGAAAUGCGUAGAGAUCGGGAGGAACAUCAGUGGCGAAGGCGGCCAUCUGGGACAACACUGACGCUGAGGCACGAAAGCGUGGGGAGCAAACAGGAUUAGAUACUCCAGUAGUCCCUGUCUCUUAUAC
This 301-nucleotide ribosomal RNA is filed under the name uncultured bacterium. RNAcentral describes it as "partial 16S ribosomal RNA". It matches the Rfam family "Bacterial small subunit ribosomal RNA", at positions 509 to 807 of the family's 1533-position model. The record is from RNAcentral.